GCCUGGGAUAAGAAAAUCCUUAGUUUUUCGUAAAAUUCAAAGUUUUGUAAACAGGAAAUUUAUAAAAAUGACCACAUUAUUGAUAUUCAUGUCAACACCGAAGUGUUGACUACUGGGCUGGUGAUACCCUCGGGGACGAAACGUCCACCAGCAGUGGCAUCGACCCAGUGGUGUAAAUAGUUAUGAAAGGUACCAGGAUUAUAAUU
RNAcentral lists this long non-coding RNA (206 nucleotides) under Mytilus galloprovincialis (Mediterranean mussel). The record is from RNAcentral. Lineage: Eukaryota; Metazoa; Mollusca; Bivalvia; Mytilida; Mytilidae.